GGGGAUUUAGCUCAAUGGUAGAGCGCUUGCCUAGGAAGCGCAAGGCCCUGGGUUCGGUCCCCAGCUCCG
Molecule: non-coding RNA, 69 nt
Organism: Rattus norvegicus (Norway rat)
Lineage: Eukaryota; Metazoa; Chordata; Mammalia; Rodentia; Muridae
Source: Rfam